This 94-nucleotide transfer RNA is filed under the name Drechslerella stenobrocha 248. It matches the Rfam family "tRNA". From Rfam's summary of the family: Transfer RNA (tRNA) molecules are approximately 80 nucleotides in length. Their secondary structure includes four short double-helical elements and three loops (D, anti-codon, and T loops). Further hydrogen bonds mediate the characteristic L-shaped molecular structure. tRNAs have two regions of fundamental functional importance: the anti-codon, which is responsible for specific mRNA codon recognition, and the 3' end, to which the tRNAs corresponding amino acid is attached (by aminoacyl-tRNA synthetases). tRNAs cope with the degeneracy of the genetic code in two manners: having more than one tRNA (with a specific anti-codon) for a particular amino acid; and 'wobble' base-pairing, i.e. permitting non-standard base-pairing at the 3rd anti-codon position. Lineage: Eukaryota; Fungi; Ascomycota; Orbiliomycetes; Orbiliales; Orbiliaceae. The record is from Rfam by way of RNAcentral.
UCCGAUAUGGUGUAGUGGUUAACAUCGUCCGCUUUCAGUCGGUCAACAGACCAACAGUACCGGACAGCCCCGGGUUCGAUUCCCGGUAUCGGAA